Molecule: ribosomal RNA, 483 nt
Filed under: uncultured bacterium
Lineage: Bacteria
Description: partial 16S ribosomal RNA
Rfam family: Bacterial small subunit ribosomal RNA
Source: RNAcentral
GACGAACGCUGGCGGCGUGCUUAACACAUGCAAGUCGAACGAUGAGGCCGGAGCUUGCUCCGGUGGAUUAGUGGCGAACGGGUGAGUAACACGUGAGCAAUCUGCCCUUGACUCUGGGAUAACUGCGGGAAACUGCAGCUAAUACCGGAUACGACACCUUGGGGCAUCCCAGGGGGUGGAAAGAAUUUCGGUCAAGGAUGAGCUCGCGGCCUAUCAGCUAGUUGGUGAGGUAAUGGCUCACCAAGGCGACGACGGGUAGCCGGCCUGAGAGGGUGACCGGCCACACUGGAACUGAGACACGGUCCAGACUACUACGGGAGGCAGCAGUGGGGAAUAUUGCACAAUGGGCGAAAGCCUGAUGCAGCAACGCCGCGUGAGGGAUGAAGGCCUUCGGGUUGUAAACCUCUUUUAGCAGGGAAGAAGCGAAAGUGACGGUACCUGCAGAAAAAGCACCGGCUAACUACGUGCCAGCCGCCGCGGUAA